RNAcentral lists this ribosomal RNA (468 nucleotides) under uncultured bacterium. Its description in RNAcentral is "partial 16S ribosomal RNA". It matches the Rfam family "Bacterial small subunit ribosomal RNA", at positions 28 to 507 of the family's 1533-position model. The record is from RNAcentral.
GACGAACGCUGGCGGCGUGCUUAACACAUGCAAGUCGAACGGAAAGGCCCUGCUCUUGUGGGGUGCUCGAGUGGCGAACGGGUGAGUAACACGUGAGUAACCUGCCCUUGACUUUGGGAUAACUUCAGGAAACUGGGGCUAAUACCGGAUAGGAGCUCCUGCUGCAUGGUGGGGGUUGGAAAGUUCCGGCGGUUGGGGAUGGACUCGCGGCUUAUCCGCUUGUUGGUGGGGUAGUGGCUUACCAAGGCUUUGACGGGUAGCCGGCCUGAGAGGGUGACCGGCCACAAUGGGACUGAGAUACGGCCCAGACGCCUACGGGAGGCAGCAGUGGGGAAUAUUGCACAAUGAGCGGAAGCGUGAUGCAGCAACGCCGCGUGCGGGAUGACGGCCUUCGGGUUGUAAACCGCUUUCGCCUGUGACGAAGCGUGAGUGACGGUAAUGGGUAAAGAAGCACCGGCUAACUACGUG